This 241-nucleotide ribosomal RNA is filed under the name uncultured bacterium. RNAcentral describes it as "partial 16S ribosomal RNA". It matches the Rfam family "Bacterial small subunit ribosomal RNA", at positions 118 to 347 of the family's 1533-position model. The record is from RNAcentral.
UGGGUAACCUGCCUCAAAGAGGGGAAUAGCCUCCCGAAAGGGAGAUUAAUACCGCAUAAUAUGUUUAGGUCGCAUGACUUUAACAUCAAAGGAUUUUCUUUUAGAACUUCCACUUUGAGAUGGACCCGCGGCGCAUUAGCUAGUUGGUGAGGUAACGGCUCACCAAGGCAACGAUGCGUAGCCGACCUGAGAGGGUGAUCGGCCACAUUGGAACUGAGACACGGUCCAGACUCCUAGGGAG